GCCAUUUCCUCUAUCCCUUUCUUGUUUUUAUGUGUCUUUAUUCUUCCUUGCCCAGGAUGAAGCUUGUGCAGGGCAGGAUCAAUCCUCUUCCCUCCUCCCUUCUCUCAGAGUCCAACCUCCUUCUGUUUCUAGUCUAGGCCUCCUGCAGUAUCUGACUGGGCCCAGCUGGGCCAUGGCCAGCAACUCUGGGAGCCCAGGAGUCUGCCUGCCUCUGCCUCUCCACACGCAGGGCAGAGCUUGCAUCUGUAGCUUAGGUAUCCUGGCAUCCUUAGGUUGAAACCUGCAGAGUGGGGGGUCUAACAGAGACCAUGGCAGAAUAUGGAGGGUAUAGAGCAUGGGUCAAAUGAGGGCUUAGAUUCACUGGGCUGGGCUGGGACAGCUGUCUUUGGGAGGACAGCUUCUCUUUCAGCCCUAUCCCUAUAGACUGGGAUUCACACCCACAUUUUUAAGACCUAGAUAUGUGGUUGAGGCCAGAUCCUGGCACUAGAAACCAGUCUCAAGGGAUCUUGGAGGGCUGGUGAUGUAAAGUUGAGUUUGUUGGUAGUACACAUCUUUUUAUAGCACCUACUUUGUGCUUAACUGUGUUGCUGGGGCUCCCAUGGAGCAGCCAAUGUCCUGUGACCCUGAGAUGGUCCUGAAAAAUCCAUGGGGAAGCAAGGAAGUGCGGACCUCAUCAGCAGAGGGGUGUGGGAACAGAGAGGGAUAGGAACUGUGGAUGCCCCUUUGCUUGGUAGACAAGGGCCGUGAGGCCGACUGGAUGGGUCAGAAUUUUCUGUGGUUGAAGGGAAGGGAUGAGGGUAGGCACUGGGUCGCCUCUGCCCUCUGGCUCCCAGACUGGGCCUGACUGGGUUCCCCCUCUUCCCCAUGGUCACUAACUUCUGAGGGCAGGUCUGGGCACCUGCACCGCCAACUCAGGAAGGCCACUGAUGGGAUUCGUGCUGAAUUGGGAAUGAAGCCCCAGUCCCAGCAGUGGACUGUGUGGUCCCAGCUGCUGCCUCUGGAAAGUGGGCUGGAGGAAGUGCUGAGCGAGGAGGCUGGGCGAGCUGGCACAGAAAGCGCUGACUCCACAGGGAGAGGACCACCGAGUGACCACUGCCAGCUGGGCCCUGGGCCCACCCCUCCCCCGCAGCCACAUCUGGUGCAAUGGUGGGGGAGGCAGGGGGGACUUUGGUCCCCAGAGCCAAGGCAGUGGUGGAGGGGGCCCGAGGAAGGGGCU
RNAcentral lists this long non-coding RNA (1216 nucleotides) under Marmota monax (woodchuck). The record is from RNAcentral. Lineage: Eukaryota; Metazoa; Chordata; Mammalia; Rodentia; Sciuridae.